UACGAAGGGUGCAAGCGUUACUCGGAAUUACUGGGCGUAAAGCGUGCGUAGGUGGUUUGUUAAGUCUGAUGUGAAAGCCCUGGGCUCAACCUGGGAAUUGCAUCGGAUACUGGCAGGCUAGAGUGCGGUAGAGGAUGGCGGAAUUCCCGGUGUAGCAGUGAAAUGCGUAGAGAUCGGGAGGAACAUCUGUGGCGAAGGCGGCCAUCUGGACCAGCACUGACACUGAGGCACGAAAGCGUGGGGAGCAAACAGGGA
This 255-nucleotide ribosomal RNA is filed under the name uncultured bacterium. RNAcentral's name for it is "partial 16S ribosomal RNA". It matches the Rfam family "Bacterial small subunit ribosomal RNA", at positions 524 to 778 of the family's 1533-position model. The record is from RNAcentral.